GCCUAUGGCCAUGCCACCCUGAACGUGCCCAAUCUCAUAUGAUCUCGGAAGCUAAGCAGGGUCGGGCCUGGUUAGUACUUGGAUGAGAGACCACCUAGGAAAACCAGGUGCUGUAGGUG
RNAcentral lists this ribosomal RNA (119 nucleotides) under Pteropus alecto (black flying fox). The record is from RNAcentral. Lineage: Eukaryota; Metazoa; Chordata; Mammalia; Chiroptera; Pteropodidae.